CAUAUCAAUAAGCGGAGGAAAAGAAACCAACAGGGAUUGCUCUAGUAACGGCGAGUGAAGCAGCAAUAGCUCAAAUUUGAAAUCUGGCGUCUUCGACGUCCGAGUUGUAAUUUGUAGAGGAUGCUUCUGAGUAACCACCGACCUAAGUUCCUUGGAACAGGACGUCAUAGAGGGUGAGAAUCCCGUAUGCGGUCGGAAAGGUGCUCUAUACGUAGCUCCUUCGACGAGUCGAGUUGUUUGGGAAUGCAGCUCUAAAUGGGAGGUAAAUUUCUUCUAAAGCUAAAUAUUGGCCAGAGACCGAUAGCGCACAAGUAGAGUGAUCGAAAGAUGAAAAGCACUUUGGAAAGAGAGUUAAAAAGCACGUGAAAUUGUUAAAAGGGAAGGGAUUGCAACCAGACUUGCUCGCGGUGUUCCGCCGGUCUUCUGACCGGUCUACUCGCCGCGUUGCAGGCCAGCAUCGUCUGGUGCCGCUGGAUAAGACUUGAGGAAUGUAGCUCCCUCGGGAGUGUUAUAGCCUCUUGUGAUGCAGCGAGCGCCGGGCGAGGUCCGCGCUUCGGCUAGGAUGCUGGCGUAAUGGUCGUAAUCCGC
Molecule: ribosomal RNA, 588 nt
Filed under: Cladosporium cladosporioides
Lineage: Eukaryota; Fungi; Ascomycota; Dothideomycetes; Cladosporiales; Cladosporiaceae
Description: eukaryotic LSU rRNA
Rfam family: Eukaryotic large subunit ribosomal RNA
Source: RNAcentral